This 69-nucleotide transfer RNA is filed under the name Otophryne robusta (pancake frog). RNAcentral's name for it is "tRNA-Asp". It matches the Rfam family "tRNA". From Rfam's summary of the family: Transfer RNA (tRNA) molecules are approximately 80 nucleotides in length. Their secondary structure includes four short double-helical elements and three loops (D, anti-codon, and T loops). The record is from RNAcentral. Lineage: Eukaryota; Metazoa; Chordata; Amphibia; Anura; Microhylidae.
GAGAUACUAGUUAAACCAUAACCCUGCCUUGUCAAGGCAACAUUACAGGUUAAACCCCUGUGCACCUCC